Molecule: ribosomal RNA, 447 nt
Filed under: uncultured bacterium
Lineage: Bacteria
Description: bacterial SSU rRNA
Rfam family: Bacterial small subunit ribosomal RNA
Source: RNAcentral
UGGGGAAUCUUGGACAAUGGGCGAAAGCCUGAUCCAGCCAUGCCGCGUGAGUGACGAAGGCCUUAGGGUUGUAAAACUCUUUCGUCGGGGACGAUAAUGACGGUACCCGAAGAAGAAGCUCCGGCUAACUUCGUGCCAGCAGCCGCGGUAAUACGAAGGGAGCUAGCGUUGUUCGGAAUCACUGGGCGUAAAGCGCACGUAGGCGGAUAGUUAAGUCAGGGGUGAAAUCCUGGGGCUCAACCCCAGAACUGCCUUUGAUACUGGCUGUCUCGAGGUCGAGAGAGGUUGGUGGAAUUCCUAGUGUAGAGGUGAAAUUCGUAGAUAUUAGGAAGAACACCAGUGGCGAAGGCGGCCAACUGGCUCGAUACUGACGCUGAGGUGCGAAAGCGUGGGGAGCAAACAGGAUUAGAUACCCAAGUAGUCCCUGAGCGGGCUGGCAAGGCGCAU